CGAACGGGUGAGUAACACGUGAGGAACCUGCCCUAGACUCUGGGAUAACAGCGGGAAACCGCUGCUAAUACCGGAUACUCCAUUUCCUUCGCAUGGAAGAAAUGGGAAAGAAUUUCGGUCUGGGAUGGUCUCGCGGCCUAUCAGCUAGUUGGUGGGGUAACGGCCUACCAAGGCUAUGACGGGUAGCUGGCGUGAGAGCGUGGCCAGCCACACUGGGACUGGGACACGGCCCAG
RNAcentral lists this ribosomal RNA (234 nucleotides) under uncultured bacterium. RNAcentral describes it as "partial 16S ribosomal RNA". It matches the Rfam family "Bacterial small subunit ribosomal RNA", at positions 99 to 334 of the family's 1533-position model. The record is from RNAcentral.